This 212-nucleotide long non-coding RNA is filed under the name Elaeis guineensis (African oil palm). Its description in RNAcentral is "long non-coding RNA (EGUI_LNC006502)". The record is from RNAcentral. Lineage: Eukaryota; Viridiplantae; Streptophyta; Magnoliopsida; Arecales; Arecaceae.
CCCUACUGGUAUGCCCAUCUGUCUCAAAAUGGCAUGGCAUUUUUCUGAAGAUAUUAUCAGUUGGCUUUUCAUGGCAAAACCAGACUUGUGUAGAGAUAAAAGUAAAAAGUCCAUGAUUUAUUUUAUUUUUUUAUUUUUAUUUUUUUUUGGUAUAUAACAGUUUAACUAUUCUGAGAAAAUGGAAGAUAAAGAACCAGACAAUUUUUUUUUUU